AGGACUCCUCUUUCUCUUUUCUCCUUGGAAGUUUGCAUCCAUGGCUCUGCGUGGCUAAAGCUUUUAUUGGUCUAAGAAAACAGAAGCCUCAGAAUCAAUAAAACUGUGAGAUCUGAAUUUGUUUUCAUUGUUUAAUUCAUGCUUUGAUGUCGAAUGUCCUUCUGUGCAUAUUUUCAUGAUUAUUUUCGUUUAAUGACUAGGAGGCCUACUAGUUUAUUAUUCAUUGCAAUCUACUGCUAGGUUAGAUAUCAAAUCCGUAAUUGUUUGAUUCCUCUAAUCUGUGAAGCAACUAAGAUCUAAUAAUUUGCUGCGUCAGAAAUUUUCAGAUCUUAGGAAGAAUACUCGGCUAAAUCAAAUGCAACUGCUUGUGUUUGUGUUGUUUAGUUUCAUUGAUCUCUCUAAUUCUUAAGGCUGCUACUAGAUUAAACCUUUAGCGCUUGUCUUGGGUUGUUUAGUAGUUAGGGUUAAUUA
Molecule: long non-coding RNA, 471 nt
Filed under: Phoenix dactylifera (date palm)
Lineage: Eukaryota; Viridiplantae; Streptophyta; Magnoliopsida; Arecales; Arecaceae
Description: long non-coding RNA (PDAC_LNC022273)
Source: RNAcentral